GACGAACGCUGGCGGCGUGCUUAACACAUGCAAGUCGAACGGAAAGGCCUCUUUCGGGGGGUACUCGAGUGGCGAACGGGUGAGUAACACGUGAGUAACCUGCCCUUGACUUUGGGAUAACUUCAGGAAACUGGGGCUAAUACCGGAUAGGAGCUCCUGCUGCAUGGUGGGGGUUGGAAAGUUUCGGCGGUUGGGGAUGGACUCGCGGCUUAUCAGCUUGUUGGUGGGGUAGUGGCUUACCAAGGCUUUGACGGGUAGCCGGCCUGAGAGGGUGACCGGCCACAUUGGGACUGAGAUACGGCCCAGACUCCUACGGGAGGCAGCAGUGGGGUAUAUUGCACAAUGGGUGGAAGCCUGAUGCAGCAACGCCGUGUGCGGGAUGACGGCCUUCGGGUUGUAAACCGCUUUCGCUCAUGACGAAGCUUUGUGUGACGGUAGUGGGUAAAGAAGCACCGGCUAACUACGUG
This 467-nucleotide ribosomal RNA is filed under the name uncultured bacterium. Its description in RNAcentral is "partial 16S ribosomal RNA". It matches the Rfam family "Bacterial small subunit ribosomal RNA", at positions 28 to 507 of the family's 1533-position model. The record is from RNAcentral.